GCAAACUUGGUCAUUUAGAGGAAGUAAAAGUCGUAACAAGGUAUCCGUAGGUGAACCUGCGGAUGGAUCAUUAAACAAGGAUAUUGGGGACAACAACAACCCUGAUUCAUCAUUGACGACUGUACUGUAACUUUUGGCCACUACUGGCCAAAAUGAUUCACAAUCGAACAACCAUUUGUCUUAUGUGUGUAAUGCAAAUCAUAUACAACUUUUAACAAUGGAUCUCUUGGCUCUUGCAUCGAUGAAGAACGCAGC
RNAcentral lists this unclassified non-coding RNA (255 nucleotides) under uncultured fungus. RNAcentral's name for it is "partial contains small subunit ribosomal RNA, internal transcribed spacer 1, and 5.8S ribosomal RNA". The stretch from base 1 to 73 matches the Rfam family "Eukaryotic small subunit ribosomal RNA", at positions 1759 to 1831 of the family's 1831-position model. Lineage: Eukaryota; Fungi. The record is from RNAcentral.